UAAAAGGCAUGAUGACAGUUCACACACUGC
RNAcentral lists this non-coding RNA (30 nucleotides) under Mus musculus (house mouse). Lineage: Eukaryota; Metazoa; Chordata; Mammalia; Rodentia; Muridae. The record is from RNAcentral.